GACGAACCGUCCAAACGUUAUUCGGAAUCACUGGGCGUAAAGCGCACGUAGGCGGACUCUUAAGUCAGGGGUGAAGUCCUGGAGCUCAACUCCAGAACUGCCUUUGAUACUGAGAGCCUUGAGUUCGGGAGAGGUGAGUGGAACUGCGAGUGUAGAGGUGAAAUUCGUAGAUAUUCGCAAGAACACCAGUGGCGAAGGCGGCUCACUGGCCCGAUACUGACGCUGAGGUGCGAAAGCGUGGGGAGCAAACAGG
RNAcentral lists this ribosomal RNA (253 nucleotides) under uncultured bacterium. RNAcentral describes it as "partial 16S ribosomal RNA". It matches the Rfam family "Bacterial small subunit ribosomal RNA", at positions 524 to 776 of the family's 1533-position model. The record is from RNAcentral.